CAAUAGCGUAUAUUAAAGUUGUUGCAGUUAAAAAGCUCGUAGUUGGAUUUGUGGCUGUCACGGGCGGCCUAUCACUUAGUGUUAGUGCUUGCCUGUGUCGCCAUCCUUGGGUGGAGCCCGUGUGGCAUUAGGUUGUCGUUCGGGGGAUGCCCAUCGUUUACUGUGAGAAAAUUAGAGUGUUCAAAGCAGGCUUAUGCCGUUGAAUAUGUUAGCAUGGAAUAAUAAGAUAGGACCUCGGUACUAUUUUGUUGGUUUGCGCACCGAGGUAAUGAUUAAUAGGGACAGUUGGGGGUAUUCGUAUUUCAUUGUCAGAGGUGAAAUUCUUGGAUUUCUGAAAGACGAACUACUGCGAAAGCAUUUACCAAGGAUGUUUUCAUUAA
This 380-nucleotide ribosomal RNA is filed under the name uncultured eukaryote. RNAcentral describes it as "partial 18S ribosomal RNA". It matches the Rfam family "Eukaryotic small subunit ribosomal RNA", at positions 592 to 976 of the family's 1831-position model. The record is from RNAcentral.